This 104-nucleotide transfer RNA is filed under the name Pseudozyma flocculosa. RNAcentral describes it as "Anthracocystis flocculosa transfer RNA-Ala(AGC)". It matches the Rfam family "tRNA". Rfam says of the family: Transfer RNA (tRNA) molecules are approximately 80 nucleotides in length. Their secondary structure includes four short double-helical elements and three loops (D, anti-codon, and T loops). The record is from RNAcentral. Lineage: Eukaryota; Fungi; Basidiomycota; Ustilaginomycetes; Ustilaginales; Ustilaginaceae.
GGGGGUUUAGCUCAGUUGGCAGAGCGUUCGCUUAGCACGGCACAGCAUCUCGAGCUGUACAAGUGAUCUGCGAAAGGUCGCGUGUUCGACUCAUGCAGUCUCCA